UUUGAAAUCUCCGACGCUUGCGUCGGCGAAUUGUAGUUGCGAGAAGCACUUUCUAGGCGGAUCGGUCGUGCCUAAGUUGCUUGGAACAGUACGUCAUAGAGGGUGACAACCCCGUCUGUGGCUCGGCCGGCCGCUCACGAUGUGCUUUCGAAGAGUCGGGUUGUUUGGGAAUGCAGCCCAAAAAUGGUGGUAAACUCCAUCUAAAGCUAAAUACUGACGUGAGACCGAUAGCGAACAAGUACCGUGAGGGAAAGAUGAAAAGAACUUUGAAAAGAGAGUUAAAAAGUACGUGAAACCGUUUGAAGGGAAACGAAUGGACUCAGCAAUGCGCCCUUUGAGAUUCAGCCGGGCGGUUGUGGCGGUCCGGGGCUUGCGGAUCUGAAUGGACCGCGGUCUGGGGCCCGUCGCUUCCGACCGUCGCACUUCUCUUGGACGCGAGUCAACGUCGGUUGGGACUGGGCCUCAAAGGUUCCGGGAAGGUAGGUCCGGACGCUUGCGUUCGGACUGUUACAGCCCGGUUCUCUCGCGGCUCGGGCCCGACCGAGGCGGAUGCAGCACAUGCCUCUUGUGGCUAGGGUCCCGUCCUUCCGGCCGGUUGUCGAAUGCGGUGGACUGCUUGCAGUGCUCUGCGACUGCUGCCGGUCGUUGGGGUGGUGAUCUCGUACCAUG
RNAcentral lists this ribosomal RNA (669 nucleotides) under Porites compressa. Its description in RNAcentral is "eukaryotic LSU rRNA". It matches the Rfam family "Eukaryotic large subunit ribosomal RNA", at positions 114 to 611 of the family's 3401-position model. The record is from RNAcentral. Lineage: Eukaryota; Metazoa; Cnidaria; Anthozoa; Scleractinia; Poritidae.